Ficedula albicollis (Collared flycatcher) is the source of this 1749-nucleotide long non-coding RNA. NCBI's taxonomy places the organism in Eukaryota, Metazoa, Chordata, Aves, Passeriformes, Muscicapidae. The record is from Ensembl.
AUGCAAGCCAUGAUCCCACACCUGUAUCCCAUGGAGCACCCCCACAGCCAUGGGAAGCUCUGGGCUACAGGAGGGGGGCUGGGGUGGGAUUUUGGGGCAGGCAGCUCCACUUGUGCCUGGGCAUGGGCUGCACUUUGGGAUAAAGAACAGGUUGCCUGGGGAAAUUGUGGCUGCCCCAUCCCUGGCAGUGUCCAAGGCCAGGUUGGACUGGGCUUGGAGCAACCUGGAACAGUGGAAGGUGCCCCUGCCCAUGGCAGGGGGUGGGACUGGAUGGGCUUUAAGGUCCCUUCCAACCCCAAGCAUUCCAUGUUCUGUGAUCUCACGGGGCUUCCCUUUAACUCUCACUUUCACCAGGUGAUUUAUUUCCCUAUCAGUCUCUCUGUUCUUCCAGAAACCAUCCAUGGGUCCAAGCCAGAGCAUCCUGGUGUGACAAGCCACUGGCAGCUGGAUUUGGAGCAGAAGUGGACAAACCAUAUGCAACAGGAACAGGACACCACCCUCCAGCAGAGGCUGUCCAGAGCCUCAUCCAGCCUGGCCUUGGACACUUCCAGGGAUAGCAGUUCCCUCCUGCCUUUCUCUCUAAACCCAAAAGGUCACUGUCAGACAGCAAAGCUGUGGCUUCUCCCGGGCUGGGACAUGGGACUGGAGAGGAUGGGAGUGAUCCCACUCUCUCCAGAGCCUUCAGGGCAGGAUGGGAGCCGCGACCCUGCCUGACUCACCCGGGAGCAGGGCUGAGCCUCUCCAAAGGAAAACUCGCAUUAAGCUCUGCCACAAGGCUCUGGCGACCAUAUGGAGCUGGGAGGGGGGUGGGGGCCAGCCCUGACCUUUAUUGUAGGGAGGGCAGUGCCACUGACCCCUCUCCCUGCCCCCCAGGGGUGGCUGUUCCCAGGCCACUCAGGUUGUUCCUCGCCGCUAAAGAAGACAAUUAAAUCCUUGAGCCCAGGUUUUAGUGUUUCCAUGUGCAGCCAAGUAUCUUAAUCUGGGCUGUUUGGGGAAUUUUUAUCCCGUGGAUCCCUUGGUAUGCCUGGAAUGUUUGCUUUUCCUACUGUGUGCGUGUGUUUGAGGCACUCCUGUAAAAACAAGAGCUUCCUGCCUGCCUUGUAAAUCUUUCCUUGAUUGGCAGAGCGGCCUUUGGUGAUUAAUCAAGGGGCACGACGGGGCUGACACCCCCCAGGAUUUACUCCUUGCAAAUCCCCAGCACGGUGGUGGGAGAGCUGGGAAGGGUCCCCGGGAGCUGGCUGCUCUCCAGAGCCCAGUGGUGACAUCGGUUUUCGGUAAGAGCCUGGGAGAGGAAGGGAAAAACGGAAAUUCCAGAGAGCUAAGGAAAUGCUCCAGAGGGCUGGGACUUGGGAGGCAUUUUCUAUUGUAUCAUCGGGAUAAAACACACAGCUCUGCCUGGAGGGAUUCACCCGCCGGCCAAACAAACCUUCCCACCUUGGAUGGGCUGGGAAUUGGGAGAUUUGUCCCAAACAAACCUUCCCACCUUGUCUGGGAAUUGGGAGAUUUAUCCCAAACAAACCUUCCCACCUUGGCUGGGAAUUGGGAGAUUUGUCCCAAACAAACCUUCCCACCUUGGCUGGGCUGGGAAUUGGGAGAUUUGUCCCACCCAAACAUUCCCACUGUGUUUGGGCUGGGAAUUGAGAGAUUUGUGCCAACCAAACCUUCCCACCUUGGCUGGGCUGGGAAUUGGGAGAUUUGUCCCACCCAAACAUUCCCACUGUGUUUGGGCUGGGAAUUGAGAGAUUUGUG